Molecule: unclassified non-coding RNA, 249 nt
Filed under: Hevea brasiliensis (rubber tree)
Lineage: Eukaryota; Viridiplantae; Streptophyta; Magnoliopsida; Malpighiales; Euphorbiaceae
Source: RNAcentral
AGCGUUCAAAGUGCUAAUUACAAUAGCAUCAAGUAUUGAGUGUUAAUUAUAAGUGUCAAAGCAUGAGAGUGCUAAUCAUAAUAUAUAGUAUCCAAGCAUUGGCAUGUGAACAAACCAAAACGCCAUUACAGUUGGCAUCCCAAUCCAUUAAUAGCAUCCCGGGCCCUUUCUCCUUCAAAAUGCUAUCAAUAUUUGCGUCCUCUUUCUGAAUGCCAUUACAAAUAAUGUCCUUAAUUAACGCUAAUGUGA